RNAcentral lists this long non-coding RNA (786 nucleotides) under Struthio camelus australis. Its description in RNAcentral is "lncRNA (ENSSCUG00000015149.1)". The record is from RNAcentral. Lineage: Eukaryota; Metazoa; Chordata; Aves; Struthioniformes; Struthionidae.
AUGCGUUGGUCCAUGGAUGUGGGGACGGAUCUUGAUUGUAAAGAUGGAUUCAUACCUCCAUGGCUUGAGGUCCAAUGUCAUGGACUUAUCUCUAUCUUUUCUCCCUUCAAGUUCACAUCCUCUGCCUCUUCCUCUCCACUGCGGGCCCCCUGGAAGAGCAGAAGCACACCCCGGGGACAGCAGAACAACGUGCCGGGGCGGCGAGGGGGAGAACAAAGAAUCCUUCAGCCCUGUGAAAAGUCUUCACUGGAAAAGGGAGUAAAUUCCAAGUCAGUACCGCAGGUUGUUUCCCCUGAAGGAAGCUGGCUGGUUGCUCGGGCCCUUACGGGCAUGUGCAGGGUCAGGCAGAGCGAAAGGAGGUGCCCAGCAGCAGAGAGCUCUGACUUCAUCUUGACCUCAAGGCAACGCUGCUCUAUGUUCAUUUUUCUGUGAUUCCAGUCUGCAGGCCACAACAUAUAAUCAAGACUUCCCUUACCGAGAGGAGCUACCACUAGAACAGGGAGAGCAAAAUAUAGGCUAGCCCUGUAAUGUGAGCGUGUGAACGCAGGAUGGGAAAUGCAAAAGGGAAGGCAUGAAGAAAGAGUUGCAGGAUAUAAGUAACACUGACAUGGGCACUUAUUCCUCUGGCAUGUAUAUAAUCAUAUGAUAAUAUGCAGUUGGGAGACCGUGGUGGAGCAUUUCAAGCAAAGGGAACAACUGGUGCCUAGAGUUCCUCUGCGUAUCUAUUGCAUCAACAUAAUGACAUGGCAAAAUAAAAGAAAGGCCAGGGCAGAUGUUAGAGGCGAG